RNAcentral lists this ribosomal RNA (503 nucleotides) under uncultured bacterium. RNAcentral's name for it is "partial 16S ribosomal RNA". It matches the Rfam family "Bacterial small subunit ribosomal RNA", at positions 30 to 523 of the family's 1533-position model. The record is from RNAcentral.
AUUGAACGCUGGCGGCAGGCUUAACACAUGCAAGUCGAGCGGGGUGAUGGCGCUUGCACUAUCACUUAGCGGCGGACGGGUGAGUAAUGCUUAGGAAUCUGCCUAUUAGUGGGGGACAACAUCUCGAAAGGGAUGCUAAUACCGCAUACGUCCUACGGGAGAAAGCAGGGGAUCACUUGUGACCUUGCGCUAAUAGAUGCACCUAAGUCGGAUUAGCUAGUUGGUGGGGUAAAGGCCUACCAAGGCGACGAUCUGUAGCGGGUCUGAGAGGAUGAUCCGCCACACUGGGACUGAGACACGGCCCAGACUCCUACGGGAGGCAGCAGUGGGGAAUAUUGGACAAUGGGGGGAACCCUGAUCCAGCCAUGCCGCGUGUGUGAAGAAGGCCUUAUGGUUGUAAAGCACUUUAAGCGAGGAGGAGGCUCUUUUGGUUAAUACCCAAGAUGAGUGGACGUUACUCGCAGAAUAAGCACCGGCUAACUCUGUGCCAGCCGCCGCGGUAA